Long non-coding RNA from Astatotilapia calliptera (eastern happy), 1641 nucleotides. The record is from Ensembl. Lineage: Eukaryota; Metazoa; Chordata; Actinopteri; Cichliformes; Cichlidae.
UGCUGAACGCCUCGUCGACGGCCGCUGGCCAAACGGCCGAUGAAGCUGAGGCUCGCGUGAUGGCGCAGAGCCUUGUAUAUGAGAUUCAGUUUCAUCCAUUGUGAUUGAAUUUUAUUUUUCUCAUUCAAAAACAGUGAAGCGCUGGAGAAUCCAAACGUUCCCCUGGCACAAGGGGAGUAAAUAAUAAAGAAGAGAAACCGUAACAGCUUCUUUUUGUUUCGAACCUUUGGACAACGAUGCUCAUACCAAGCACUGCUUCGAAGUCUCAGACAUGUCCGUUACUGAGUGGGCUUAAAAAAGCUCACCAGACAGUGAGAGAGACUUGUGCUCAGUGCUGCUAACACAUACAGAGCGUCGGAUCGAUGGUAGAGGGACUGACGGUUUCCCCGUUUACAACUUUCUAGCAUCCCCCUAAAGCAGAUGUGGCAACUCCAGGCCUGGAGGGCCGGUGUCCUGCAGGUUUAAGAUGUCCUUGAUCCAACACAGCUGGUUUGAACGGCUAAACGACCUCCUCAACAUGUCCUGAAGUUCUCCAGAGGCCUGGAGGUCCCCACCCCCCAACCCUAAAGGGACAAGUUCCAAUAAUGGCGUAAUCACAGAGCUGACUUUCGUCUUGUCUAACAGAGCAGAGCACUUGCUAUAAAUCCAACAGUGGUGGAGUGUUUAGAGCUCGUUAUAAUGCGAGCCCAGGUGGAGUCGCUGUCAGCACAGCUCACGUAGCUCCACGCUGUGCUUAAACCCGAGCGGCUAAUUCGCUGCUAAUGCUAACUCUAGAUCGUAAUCCAGUCUCGGUGCGUCCUGAAUCAAUUUGAUAAAACACGUCACAGUUCAACAGAACCACAGCAGUAACAGGUCCUGACCUUUGCUAUCGUCUGUGCUGUCCUGUUGUGGGUUGGAUAACGGGGGAAGCUGCUCAGUGGGAUUUCAGCUGCUAUACUUUCCAUGUGUGGAUAUAGAAAUGCCCCUCACACCAAUCAUGCCAGCUGCCUUUAACAUAAGUUUUUGAGGAUGAGUUCAUCCUGGAAAAAUGACAAAAUGUAGUUUAAUAAAACAACGAACAUGAAUACAGAGCAGACACAAGGUUUAUGGAGUCCGCUUGUCCCGCAGCACAGGAAGUGGCAGAGCUCCAGGUUGGAUACUCCAAAGAUUUAGAUCUAAAAUCUUUCACAUCUUUUCUUGGUCUUUGUAAACUUUAAUUGGAAGCUUUCAGGUUCUGACCUGUGAUUUCAACAUGUAGUCAUUUUCAGUGUGCUGGUAUCACAGAGUGGGCAACUUGAGGCUGGUCUAACAUUAAAACGCUGGCCUCAGCACACACAGCUGGUCUAUGCUGCUAUCUUUUGUACUCGUGGAAAGAAGUGGGCAUUUUGGCUGGAAUGGAAACCUGCCAGUUUAACCUUUCUCAAAACGAAUCGUGCAUGCCGCUCGGUGACUGAAGUCAGCACUGCGAGUCCUGGAUCAGGGCUGCGCUCGUUUCAGUUUUCCUGCUCUCACUCAUCUGUACGCACAGUUCUUGCUUUCAUGUCAUUGUAAGAUACUUUGAAGAAACUGAGUUGAGUUUCACAUGUGAAACAACAGCUGUCACUCACUGUUGAACCAAUGGAUUUUUAAUAAAAAUGAACUCGUUUAAAGUUUAAACCAAAC